GACGGUGACAUCACGUUGAAACACCGCUUCCUGUAAGAUCACCGAAGUUAAGCAACGUUGAGUAUGGUCAGUGCAUAGAUGGGUGACCGCUUGGAACUAACAGCUGCUGUAAG
This is a non-coding RNA of Acanthosepion pharaonis, 113 nucleotides long. Lineage: Eukaryota; Metazoa; Mollusca; Cephalopoda; Sepiida; Sepiidae. The record is from the annotation of a GenBank genome assembly.